Molecule: small RNA, 451 nt
Filed under: Malus domestica (apple)
Lineage: Eukaryota; Viridiplantae; Streptophyta; Magnoliopsida; Rosales; Rosaceae
Description: sRNA MD01G0102500
Source: RNAcentral
AUGUGCGCUGGACGCCGAGGACUGAUGCCGAAAGUAGGGCCUGGCGAGUCAGUUUUCCGCAAUGCAAGCUUCACGUUCCUCAUCCUGUCUGAACUCCAUUUCUGUUAGUGUUACCGUUGCCCGUUCGACUUCUAGACACUACUCUGUUUUGUACACCGGAAUGGAACUGCAUACUUCCACUUGAUCUCACCAAAGAGCUGUCCUGUUAAUUGAAGAGUUUUUGCUCAACAGCAUAUAGCGAAGUUGAAACACUGAAACCAUACAGUUAGUACAAGAAUAAUGAAGAAUGCAUAUAAACUAACCUCGUCGAAAAAGCCAAUAUUUGGAGAUGGCGCUCGGAGACAUGAGGGUCUGAUAUGUUUAGAAACACUGUUAGGAUCCAUAGGGCUACCUCCUAUUGACAUCUUUCCUUCGCGUGGAUUCAAGAGCAUUGCUUCUUGAUUUCCAUGUC